RNAcentral lists this ribosomal RNA (1943 nucleotides) under sludge metagenome. Its description in RNAcentral is "bacterial LSU rRNA". It matches the Rfam family "Bacterial large subunit ribosomal RNA", at positions 3 to 1987 of the family's 2925-position model. The record is from RNAcentral.
UCAAGCGAAUAAGUGCAUAUGGUGGAUGCCUUGGCGAUCACAGGCGAAGAAGGACGUUGUAGCCUGCGAAAAGCUGCGGGGAGCUGGCAAACAAGCUUUGAUCCGCAGAUGUCCGAAUGGGGAAACCCACUCCAGCGAUGGAGUAUCGUUAUCUGAAUACAUAGGGUAACGAGGCGAACCGGGUGAACUGAAACAUCUCAGUAGCUCGAGGAAAAGAAAUCAACCGAGAUUCCGGCAGUAGCGGCGAGCGAAACCGGAGCAGCCUUGACGAGUUAGCACAGUCGAUAGUCGAACGGUCUGGAAAGGCCGGCCGCAGCAUGGUGAUAGCCCUGUAGACGAAAUCGAAUGUGUGGGACUAGGCGUCAGAUAAGUAGGGCGGGACACGUGAAAUCCUGUCUGAAGAUGGGGGGACCAUCCUCCAAGGCUAAAUACUCGUGAUCGACCGAUAGUGAACCAGUACCGUGAGGGAAAGGCGAAAAGAACCCCGGAAGGGGAGUGAAAUAGAUCCUGAAACCGUAUGCAUACAAACAGUAGGAGCCUCCUUGAGGGGUGACUGCGUACCUUUUGUAUAAUGGGUCAGCGACUUACAUUCAGUGGCAAGCUUAACCGGAUAGGGAAGGCGUAGCGAAAGCGAGUCCGAACAGGGCGAUUCAGUCGCUGGGUGUAGACCCGAAACCAGGCGAUCUAUCCAUGGCCAGGUUGAAGGCACGGUAACACGUGCUGGAGGACCGAACCCACUAACGUUGAAAAGUUAGGGGAUGAGCUGUGGAUAGGGGUGAAAGGCUAAACAAGCCUGGAGAUAGCUGGUUCUCUCCGAAAACUAUUUAGGUAGUGCCUCACAUGAUUACUGCCGGGGGUAGAGCACUGUUAUAGCUAGGGGGUCAUGGCGACUUACCAACCUAUGGCAAACUCCGAAUACCGGCAAGUACAGUGUGGGAGACAGAGCACCGGGUGCUAACGUCCGGACUCAAGAGGGAAACAACCCAGACCGCCAGCUAAGGUCCCUAAAACGGGCUAAGUGGGAAACGAAGUGGGAAGGCAUAGACAGUCAGGAGGUUGGCUUAGAAGCAGCCAUCCUUUAAAGAAAGCGUAAUAGCUCACUGAUCGAGUCGUCCUGCGCGGAAGAUGUAACGGGGCUAAGCCAGUUACCGAAGCUGCGGGUGUGCACGCAAGUGCACGCGGUAGGAGAGCGUUCUGUAAGCCUGCGAAGGUGGCUUGUAAAGGCUGCUGGAGGUAUCAGAAGUGCGAAUGCUGACAUGAGUAGCGAUAAAGGGGGUGAAAAGCCCCCUCGCCGUAAGUCCAAGGUUUCCUGCGCAACGUUCAUCGGCGCAGGGUGAGUCGGCCCCUAAGGCGAGGCAGAGAUGCGUAGCUGAUGGGAAGCUGGUUAAUAUUCCAGUACCGUCGUGAGAUGCGAUGGGGGGACGGAUGGCAGAAGGUCAUCGGGGUGUUGGAUGUCCCCGUUGCUGCAUCGAAGAAGGCGCUUAGGUAAAUCCGGGCGCGUAAUUCAAGGGUGUGGCUGGACAGGAACUUCGGUUCCUGGACUGAUUGGAAGUUGUCCCAGGAAAAGCCUCUAAGCUUCAGUCUCACGAGACCGUACCGCAAACCGACACAGGUGGACGGGAUGAAUAUUCCAAGGCGCUUGAGAGAACUCAGGAGAAGGAACUCGGCAAAUUGAUACCGUAACUUCGGGAGAAGGUAUGCCCUUGUAGUGUGACAGGCUCGCGCCUGGAGCAUGAAGGGGCCGCAGAGAAUCGGUGGCUGCGACUGUUUAUUAAAAACACAGCACUCUGCAAAGACGAAAGUCGACGUAUAGGGUGUGACGCCUGCCCGGUGCCGGAAGGUUAAGUGAUGGGGUGCAAGCUCUUGAUCGAAGCCCCGGUAAACGGCGGCCGUAACUAUAACGGUCCUAAGGUAGCGAAAUUCCUUGUCGGGUAAGUUCCGAC